UACGAACCGGACAAACGUUAUUCGGAAUCACUGGGCUUAAAGAGUGCGUAGGCGGCCUGCCAAGUUGGGUGUGAAAUCCCUCGGCUCAACCGAGGAAUUGCGCUCAAAACUGGUAGGCUCGAGGAAGGCAGGGGUAAGCCGAACAGAUGGUGGAGCGGUGAAAUGCGUUGAUAUCAUCUGGAACACCAGUGGCGAAGGCGGCUUACUGGGCCUUUACUGACGCUGAGGCACGAAAGCUAGGGUAGCGAACGGG
This 253-nucleotide ribosomal RNA is filed under the name uncultured bacterium. RNAcentral's name for it is "partial 16S ribosomal RNA". It matches the Rfam family "Bacterial small subunit ribosomal RNA", at positions 524 to 776 of the family's 1533-position model. The record is from RNAcentral.